RNAcentral lists this ribosomal RNA (668 nucleotides) under uncultured bacterium. RNAcentral's name for it is "bacterial SSU rRNA". It matches the Rfam family "Bacterial small subunit ribosomal RNA", at positions 832 to 1502 of the family's 1533-position model. The record is from RNAcentral.
UCGACAAGGCAGUAAUGCAGUUAACACAUUAAGUGUGCCGCCUGGGGAGUACGGUCGCAAGAUUAAAACUCAAAGGAAUAGACGGGGACCCGCACAAGCGGUGGAGCAUGUGGUUUAAUUCGACGAUACGCGAAGAACCUUACCUGGACUUGACAUAGAAAGAAUAACGCAGAGAUGUGAUAGUGCUUGCUUGCAAGAACUUUCAUACAGGUGCUGCACGGCUGUCGUCAGCUCGUGUCGUGAGAUGUUGGGUUAAGUCCCGCAACGAGCGCAACCCUCGUGUUUAGUUACUAACAGUUCGGCUGAGGACUCUAGACAGACUGCCUGGGUAACCAGGAGGAAGGUGAGGACGACGUCAAGUCAUCAUGGCCCUUAUGUCCAGGGCUACACACGUGCUACAAUGGGGCAUACAAAGAGCAGCGAUACCGCGAGGUGGAGCAAAUCUGUUAAAAUGCCUCUCAGUUCGGAUAGCACUCUGCAACUCGAGUGCUUGAAGUUGGAAUCGCUAGUAAUCGUGGAUCAGCAAUGCCACGGUGAAUACGUUCCCGGGUCUUGUACUCACCGCCCGUCACACCAUGGGAAUUGAAUUCAUUCGAAGCGGGGAUGCUAAAAUAGCUACCUUCCACAGUGGAUUUAGUAACUGGGGUGAAGUCGUAACAAGGUAGCCG